AGCAGUCGCCGCGGGAAUACGAAGGGGGCUAGCGUUGUUCGGAAUCACUGGGCGUAAAGCGCACGUAGGCGGACUUUUAAGUCAGGGGUGAAAUCCCAAGGCUCAACCUUGGAACUGCCUUUGAUACUGGAAGUCUUGAGUUCGGGAGAGGUGAGUGGAACUGCGAGUGUAGAGGUGAAAUUCGUAGAUAUUCGGAAGAACACCAGUGGCGAAGGCGACUGACUGGACAAGUAUUGACGCUGAGGUGCGAAAGCGUGGGGAGCAAACAGGAUUAGAUACCCCCGUAGUCCCUGUCUCUUAUAC
This 303-nucleotide ribosomal RNA is filed under the name uncultured bacterium. RNAcentral describes it as "partial 16S ribosomal RNA". It matches the Rfam family "Bacterial small subunit ribosomal RNA", at positions 507 to 807 of the family's 1533-position model. The record is from RNAcentral.